RNAcentral lists this long non-coding RNA (753 nucleotides) under Cyanistes caeruleus (blue tit). RNAcentral describes it as "lncRNA (ENSCCEG00000014599.1)". Lineage: Eukaryota; Metazoa; Chordata; Aves; Passeriformes; Paridae. The record is from RNAcentral.
CAAUAACAGACUGUGGAUUCAAUCCUGGGUCCUGCCUAGAGCAAAAUGGAUGUUAUUAUUUGUCACACAGCAGCUCUGCUUAAACACCCCGUAGAAAAGGGCAUGCUCCUGUCUGGUGAGAGCAGUCUGACAGCCUCAGAGAUCCUUUCUGGAUGCAGUGGUACCUCUACAGAUCAGAGAUUGCUUUGUUCAAUGUUGGAGCAUGUCAGAAAUUCUUCUGUGAUCCUUGGAAGUCUAAGUGGGGGGAGUGGAGAAGAAGGAGUUGCCAUAUUGCUGCAUCUGGCACCUGAUGCAACCAAGUGAAUGCUGCCUCCAGGUCUGGGUCUGGGAUUCAGCAAGGAUUUUGAGAAAUUACAGAAGCUGCAUAGAUAUAGUUACCCACUUUGCUGCCUCUCUUUGCCUGUUUUUAGAACAUUUGUCUUGGUAAAAUAUAAACUCCAAAGAGAGGGACUCUCUGCUCAUGCUGGGGUUGUUUUCAGAGAAGUUUGCCCUUCAGCCCAGGAGCUUGCACAGAGAUCAGCUUCCUUCCAUAUUUGCUGGCUUUAAAAGGACUUGCACCCUUCCCACAUGGGCCUGAGAUGGCAUGGAACUGACCUCCCCAGGUCCUUGGGAUUCUGAAAGCUUGCAGGCACCAUCACUGAAGCCCAGAGCAGAGCCAGGAGAGGCAUUUCAAGAAAAAUACCCUUUGACUUCAGCAGAAAGUGAGCUUAUUUGGGCAAUAAAUGAUUACAGCAAAUAUAGACUAAUGUGGCU